AUGUCAAUGAGUGUGCCCAGUCUUUCGGACCUUGCAUGCACUUGUGCACAAACACACCCGGCUCUUUUCGGUGUCUGUGCCAGAAUGGUUUCAAAACUCUUGGGAACGGCUCUUGUGAACCUCAAGGAGCCAUGACGAAGAUCUUGACCUCCAGGAAGGGGUUGAUUGGGUUAGUGAAUGUGAAGACCAGAGUCUAUGAACCGCUCUUUGCAAUUGAGAGCGAACCUAUAGCCAUGACCUACGAUAUCCAGAGAAACUUCAUCUACUGGGCUGAUAAAGAUGGGAAUAUCUACCAGGCUUUGAACCGGAAGAGCACGAUUCUUUAUAAAGGGCAGUCUGGUUUGCACAGUCUAGCCGUCGACUGGUUUACUGGACAGCUGUACUGGACGAGUGUUACCCAGAAAGCCAUCCUCACCGGUGCAGCUGAUGGCAGUGCUGUAGGGACGGUCAUGUCCAAAGAAAUGGACCCGAGAGAGAUGGUCCUCAGCCCAACGGAGAGGUACAAACUGAUUUUUACUGUAUAAGCACAGAUUUGAGGAGCACAGUUAUAUGUCUGAUUGUUUUUCCCCCUGUAGUUUCAUAUUUUGGAUUAAUAAAGGAGCGAAUGACGAGCUGACCAUCGAGAGGGCGGAGAUGGACGGUCUGAACCGGACUACACUGGUUUUCAUCACUGCACAGCUCCCGAGGAGUCUUACGAUGGAUGUGGCGGCGCGCCGGCUGUAUUGGAUCAGUGUUUACAAAGCGGUGUGUUUCGUCAAAAACCUGAGUUUAUUGAUUGUGUGUUUAUUUCGUUUUUAUCAUUGUUAUUGGUAUUCCAGUCAAUUGAGAGCAUCAGGACAGACGGCACUGGACGGCACACCUUCUGGGAUUUCUUUCAAGGACGUCCUGCUCAGACCCUGGCUGUGUUUAACGGCUGGUUUUACUUGGCUGAUGAGAAAAAACUCUGGCAGGCUACUCAAAAUAGAUCUUCUGACACACUAAAUGGCUUCAUCUUAAAAGCCUCGCUUCCUGUCUUGAACAUCUACCAUGUGCUUCAGCAGCCCAGAGGUGAGUUAUUUUUUGUGAACUUGGUCGUAGUGGUUACACCCACAUCACUGGCUCCAAGCUUUGUGUUUUGUGAUGUAGGUUUUGCUCCGUGUAAAGACUCGGGCUGCCAGCUGUGUUUGCCGUCCAAGAAAACUCCUGCUGGAUUCACCUGUCUGUGUCCUGAGGGAGCGCUGCCCAUGUCUUGGGGAGCUUGUGAAAAUUUUAAGGUCGCCUAUGCAACAGCCACAGCUGUAUACAGUUUGGAGUUUGCAGGAGAGACUCCUGUGAAAACUGAACUCUUUACUUCAGAUGAAGACAUCCAGUCGUUUGACAUGUACUGGAGGAGAGGAUGUGUGGUGUGGUCUAAUGGGACGGGCCACGUGAAGACUAACAUACAGUCCCAGGACUUGUCGGAGUACAUCCUGACUUUAAAACCUGCCUGCAUCGUCAGAGUUGACCAGAGGACUGGGAAUCUGUAUUGGCUGGCCUGUGAUGAACUUUCCAUUGGGGUUUCUACCAUUGGCCCCCUCGACCAGAGUAUCUCCAGACAGCUGUAUCAAACCAGAACCGCAAUCCUAGACCUCUUUGUGGACUGGCAGAGAGGAAAGCUGUACUGGCUGGAGGGAAAGCAGGUCAUGAGGAUGAAACUGGGUCUGAUUGGUGGAAAUGUCGAAACUGCCUUCAGCUUCGAGGAGGAUGGAGUCGACCGCGUUGUGUUUGAUCAUAAAGCGAAUGGCUUCCUUUGGAGCAUGGAGUCUUGUUAGUGGCUUUUCCUUCUGAGUUAACUGCUAGUCUGCACAGGUUUUC
RNAcentral lists this long non-coding RNA (1833 nucleotides) under Carassius auratus (goldfish). RNAcentral's name for it is "lncRNA (ENSCARG00000001806.1)". Lineage: Eukaryota; Metazoa; Chordata; Actinopteri; Cypriniformes; Cyprinidae. The record is from RNAcentral.